AUGGCCGCCUGGCGCCCGGCGCUCGGGGCCGCCCGGGCAGGGACGGAAACCGUGCGGGGAGCGGCGGGGAGGCCGCCGGGGGGCGCGGGAAAGCCCCAAGGGACCGGGAAGCGCUGGGCUGAGGAGGAGGCGGCGGGCGGGGGUCAGCUCCGGGACCGUGGGGCGCUGAGGGGCGCGGGGCCGUGGGGUGCGAGGCGGGGCGGGCCCCGCUGUGCCGCAGCGCCCCGCGAGGGGCCGCCUGCCCCCUCCCCCCCACACGGAGCGCGUCACGGGAGGCGGGCCCCUCCCCCCUUCCGCCCGCGCGGAUUGGGCACCCGCGCUCGCGACGCCGAUUGGCCGCUGGGGGGGGGAGCGGGCCGCGCCCAUUGGCGGAGAGGGGGGCUCCGCCGGGCCGUGCGCAGAGUAGUAGGGAGGGGCGGGGGGAGCGCGCGGGGCCGUGUGCAAGCCGCGUGUGGCGCAGCCAGAAGGGAGCGGAGCGGGCGGGCAGAGCAGCGCGGCCUUCCCCCUUCCCUCGCCGCCUUCCCUCGGCGCCCUCCGUCCGCCGCCAGCCGCCGCCGCAGCGCGCCCGGCAGCUCGCGGGUAACGGCCGGGCCGCGGGGGGGGUUCCCGGGAGCGGGGGAUGGCGGCAGAGGGCGAGGGGAUGGCGGCGCUGGCGCACUCGGGCCUAGCGCGGGAAAGCGGCGCCGGGCCGGGCCUGGGCGGCGGGGCGGGGGGGGGGGAAGGGAGGGGAGUAAGGGGGGGUCUGUGGGGGCCGGUUGGGUCUGUGCGGGUCGGUGCCGCUCGGGGAGCGGGGCCGGGCCAAGGGCUGGGCGCGGGACGGCCUGGGCCGCACCUCUGGGCCGAGGUCCUACGGCAGCCGUGUGCCCCGGCCGGGCCGCGGGGCGUCAGGGGGGUUCAGGGGCGCUGGGAGGGCCGGGGGAGGAAAGGAGGGGAACGGAGGGGGGAGGGAAGGGAGCGGGAGGAACGGGCCGCGGGGCGACCUCACCCCGGGGGGGGGAGGGGAGGGAAGAGGAACGGUGCUGGGGGAGUUGGGGGGGGGGGGCGCUGGGAAGCGGCUGCAGUCAAAGCUCGCUCUGUUUCUCUCUCUUUUCUCAACUUUUCUCCUUAAUUUUUUCUCGCCCUCCCGAGCUGAGCCGGGCCGGGGCAGCGGGCCCCCGGCGGCGCGGUGUCGGCGGGGCCUGGGCCCGGGCGCACCACGUGGCCGCCCACGUGCUGGGCCCCGGCGGCGGCUCAGGGCGAGGAGCCGCGGCGGCUGCUGGCCUCCCCCCGGCACGGCCCCGGGCCCCAGCGGGGCCUAUAAAUGGGUAG
Molecule: long non-coding RNA, 1308 nt
Filed under: Cairina moschata (Muscovy duck)
Lineage: Eukaryota; Metazoa; Chordata; Aves; Anseriformes; Anatidae
Description: domestica (muscovy Duck (domestic type)) lncRNA (ENSCMMG00000001067.1)
Source: RNAcentral